Molecule: long non-coding RNA, 411 nt
Filed under: Mustela putorius furo (domestic ferret)
Lineage: Eukaryota; Metazoa; Chordata; Mammalia; Carnivora; Mustelidae
Description: lncRNA (ENSMPUG00000026238.1)
Source: RNAcentral
AUAAAGCAACCCACCUUAAUGCCUUCAGAUGUUAAGUAGAGUCCCACUUCUAAGAUUUUCCUAUCAUUUCUAAAAUUUUCAAUUUGUAUUCUCCAAAUUAGGGUCCAGGCUCAUGUCCUUGAUAAGGCUUUCACAAUCAACUGGUAAAUGGCUGAAUCAUAUUUACCAUGAGAAGAUUCCCAAAACACUUUUCAAGGAUUCCUCAUGCCUUAAUCUCAGGUAAGAGAGAGCUACAUUUUUAUAAGAUAAAAUAAUACUGUAUGUUAGCUGUAGACUUUGAACAGUAACUUUCUGUUUUCUUUCCCUUCUAUAAGGAUGAAAUAGAGACAGUGGUGCUUCCAGAGUAAGUGACAGAAAUGAAAUGAGCACUAAGAUUAGGAAUCAACACUCUGGUCUGCCACAGGAAAUAGA